This 232-nucleotide ribosomal RNA is filed under the name uncultured bacterium. Its description in RNAcentral is "partial 16S ribosomal RNA". It matches the Rfam family "Bacterial small subunit ribosomal RNA", at positions 118 to 350 of the family's 1533-position model. The record is from RNAcentral.
UGGGUAACCUGCCUCUUGCUCUGGGAUAACUCCGGGGAAACCGGGGCUAAUACCGGAUAUUCAUUUCUGGCCGCAUGGCUGGUUGUGGAAAGUUUUUCGGCGAGAGAUGGACCCGCGGCCUAUCAGCUUGUUGGUGGGGUGAUGGCCUACCAAGGCGACGACGGGUAGCCGGCCUGAGAGGGCGACCGGCCACACUGGGACUGAGACACGGCCCAGACUCCUACGGGAAGCA